CAGUAGCCACGGGAAUACGUAGGUGGCAAGCGUCGUCCGGAAUUAUUGGGCGUAAAGGGCUCGCAGGCGGUUUCUUAAGUCUGAUGUGAAAGCCCCCGGCUCAACCGGGGAGGGUCAUUGGAAACUGGGAAACUUGAGUGCAGAAGAGGAGAGUGGAAUUCCACGUGUAGCGGUGAAAUGCGUAGAGAUGUGGAGGAACACCAGUGGCGAAGGCGACUCUCUGGUCUGUAACUGACGCUGAGGAGCGAAAGUGUGGGGAGCGAACAGGAUUAGAUACCCCCGUAGUCCCUGUCUCUUAUAC
RNAcentral lists this ribosomal RNA (301 nucleotides) under uncultured bacterium. RNAcentral's name for it is "partial 16S ribosomal RNA". It matches the Rfam family "Bacterial small subunit ribosomal RNA", at positions 509 to 807 of the family's 1533-position model. The record is from RNAcentral.